GCUUGCUUUCUUUGCUGACGAGCGGCGGACGGGUGAGUAAUGCCUAGGGAUCUGCCCAGUCGAGGGGGAUAACAGUUGGAAACGACUGCUAAUACCGCAUACGCCCUACGGGGGAAAGGAGGGGACCUUCGGGCCUUUCGCGAUUGGAUGAACCUAGGUGGGAUUAGCUAGUUGGUAAGGUAAUGGCUUACCAAGGCGACGAUCCCUAGCUGUUCUGAGAGGAUGAUCAGCCACACUGGGACUGAGACACGGCCCAGACUCCUACGGGAGGCAGCAGUGGGGAAUAUUGCACAAUGGGGGAAACCCUGAUGCAGCCAUGCCGCGUGUGUGAAGAAGGCCCUAGGGUUGUAAAGCACUUUCAGUAGGGAGGAAAGGUAGUGGUUUAAUACGCCAUUACUGUGACGUUACCUACAGAAGAAGGACCGGCUAACUUCGUGCCAGCAGCCGCGGUAAUACGAGGGGUCCAAGC
RNAcentral lists this ribosomal RNA (469 nucleotides) under Shewanella sp. ini3. Its description in RNAcentral is "bacterial SSU rRNA". It matches the Rfam family "Bacterial small subunit ribosomal RNA", at positions 78 to 539 of the family's 1533-position model. Lineage: Bacteria; Pseudomonadati; Pseudomonadota; Gammaproteobacteria; Alteromonadales; Shewanellaceae. The record is from RNAcentral.